Manduca sexta (tobacco hornworm) is the source of this 646-nucleotide long non-coding RNA. RefSeq lists it as uncharacterized. The record is from RefSeq and is a predicted model, not a curated record. The transcript has 2 exons. Lineage: Eukaryota; Metazoa; Arthropoda; Insecta; Lepidoptera; Sphingidae.
CCGAAUAUAUGAACUGUCAUUGACGAGAGCAGUCAUCCUUUCAGUGUGUGUUUGACACAAAACGUGAAAGUGUCAUCCUGUGAUCUCAGAACUAACUAAGCAGUGUGCGAAAAUUGUAAAGAAAUCGUUGAAAAGUGUUAUUGUGAUAAUUCAUUAGUGUGUAAGAACUAAAGUGAUAUUCGUGAUUGGUAUAUACGCUGUAUUCACCGGCAGAGCCAAUGUUAUUUUAAGGUUUGUAGAUCUAUAAAAAAAAGCUAUUUGUAUGAAAUCUGUAGGAAUACUCCAUAUAAAUGUCUAGAACAGCUGGGUGUGUUGUUUGUCACUGACGUUACGCCAUGUGUGGGCAAAUCGGCUAAGUGUGGGUUUUACUCGAUUGGAUUCGUAAGUCUAUCAAAGUCAUAAUGACUACUGAUUAUGGAGUUUAUGCACGACCGUGUUAGUCACUGUACAGAUUAUAUUUUGAUGAUCAAACCCUAAGCAAUAUUUCGUCUAUGAAGCUUUACAACGUGCGGUCGGACAAAAUACAACCUACGGCAAUAAUAAGAGAUGGCGCUGUAGUAGUUGACGUUUAUCAAUGUUCCGUGAAUGUACAUUGUUUGUUUUCCAGUUUUUUUGACGUUUGAUAUAGAGAUUGUGGAAUAAAAAA